GAUUGUGUAGCUCAGCUGGAUAGAGCGUCCGCCUCCUAAGCGGAAGGCCAGCGGUUCGAAUCCGCUCACGAUCACCA
RNAcentral lists this transfer RNA (77 nucleotides) under Clostridiales bacterium. RNAcentral's name for it is "tRNA-Arg". It matches the Rfam family "tRNA". Rfam says of the family: Transfer RNA (tRNA) molecules are approximately 80 nucleotides in length. Their secondary structure includes four short double-helical elements and three loops (D, anti-codon, and T loops). Further hydrogen bonds mediate the characteristic L-shaped molecular structure. tRNAs have two regions of fundamental functional importance: the anti-codon, which is responsible for specific mRNA codon recognition, and the 3' end, to which the tRNAs corresponding amino acid is attached (by aminoacyl-tRNA synthetases). tRNAs cope with the degeneracy of the genetic code in two manners: having more than one tRNA (with a specific anti-codon) for a particular amino acid; and 'wobble' base-pairing, i.e. permitting non-standard base-pairing at the 3rd anti-codon position. The record is from RNAcentral. Lineage: Bacteria; Bacillati; Bacillota; Clostridia; Eubacteriales. RNAcentral also lists the same sequence under 2 other names.